Molecule: ribosomal RNA, 1518 nt
Filed under: Enterococcus hirae
Lineage: Bacteria; Bacillati; Bacillota; Bacilli; Lactobacillales; Enterococcaceae
Description: bacterial SSU rRNA
Rfam family: Bacterial small subunit ribosomal RNA
Source: RNAcentral
AGAGUUUGAUCCUGGCUCAGGACGAACGCUGGCGGCGUGCCUAAUACAUGCAAGUCGAACGCUUCUUUUUCCACCGGAGCUUGCUCCACCGGAAAAAGAGGAGUGGCGAACGGGUGAGUAACACGUGGGUAACCUGCCCAUCAGAAGGGGAUAACACUUGGAAACAGGUGCUAAUACCGUAUAACAAUCGAAACCGCAUGGUUUUGAUUUGAAAGGCGCUUUCGGGUGUCGCUGAUGGAUGGACCCGCGGUGCAUUAGCUAGUUGGUGAGGUAACGGCUCACCAAGGCGACGAUGCAUAGCCGACCUGAGAGGGUGAUCGGCCACAUUGGGACUGAGACACGGCCCAAACUCCUACGGGAGGCAGCAGUAGGGAAUCUUCGGCAAUGGACGAAAGUCUGACCGAGCAACGCCGCGUGAGUGAAGAAGGUUUUCGGAUCGUAAAACUCUGUUGUUAGAGAAGAACAAGGAUGAGAGUAACUGUUCAUCCCUUGACGGUAUCUAACCAGAAAGCCACGGCUAACUACGUGCCAGCAGCCGCGGUAAUACGUAGGUGGCAAGCGUUGUCCGGAUUUAUUGGGCGUAAAGCGAGCGCAGGCGGUUUCUUAAGUCUGAUGUGAAAGCCCCCGGCUCAACCGGGGAGGGUCAUUGGAAACUGGGAGACUUGAGUGCAGAAGAGGAGAGUGGAAUUCCAUGUGUAGCGGUGAAAUGCGUAGAUAUAUGGAGGAACACCAGUGGCGAAGGCGGCUCUCUGGUCUGUAACUGACGCUGAGGCUCGAAAGCGUGGGGAGCAAACAGGAUUAGAUACCCUGGUAGUCCACGCCGUAAACGAUGAGUGCUAAGUGUUGGAGGGUUUCCGCCCUUCAGUGCUGCAGCUAACGCAUUAAGCACUCCGCCUGGGGAGUACGACCGCAAGGUUGAAACUCAAAGGAAUUGACGGGGGCCCGCACAAGCGGUGGAGCAUGUGGUUUAAUUCGAAGCAACGCGAAGAACCUUACCAGGUCUUGACAUCCUUUGACCACUCUAGAGAUAGAGCUUCCCCUUCGGGGGCAAAGUGACAGGUGGUGCAUGGUUGUCGUCAGCUCGUGUCGUGAGAUGUUGGGUUAAGUCCCGCAACGAGCGCAACCCUUAUUGUUAGUUGCCAUCAUUUAGUUGGGCACUCUAGCAAGACUGCCGGUGACAAACCGGAGGAAGGUGGGGAUGACGUCAAAUCAUCAUGCCCCUUAUGACCUGGGCUACACACGUGCUACAAUGGGAAGUACAACGAGUCGCAAAGUCGCGAGGCUAAGCUAAUCUCUUAAAGCUUCUCUCAGUUCGGAUUGUAGGCUGCAACUCGCCUACAUGAAGCCGGAAUCGCUAGUAAUCGCGGAUCAGCACGCCGCGGUGAAUACGUUCCCGGGCCUUGUACACACCGCCCGUCACACCACGAGAGUUUGUAACACCCGAAGUCGGUGAGGUAACCUUUUGGAGCCAGCCGCCUAAGGUGGGAUAGAUGAUUGGGGUGAAGUCGUAACAAGGUA